This is a long non-coding RNA of Ictalurus punctatus (channel catfish), 4157 nucleotides long. Lineage: Eukaryota; Metazoa; Chordata; Actinopteri; Siluriformes; Ictaluridae. The record is from Ensembl.
CUUAUUCAAAAAUGAAUUUAAAAAUAUUGUUUACAAGGUUUCUUUGUUGGCAGGCUAACCUGAAGAGAGAGAGAAGAGAAGUUAGUGAGUGCACGACUACUUAUAAGCUGCUGUAAGGUGUGAGGAUAGGAACUAACUUGUUUUUGGUCACCAACGCUUUUUCCGGGGCGUGGCUUGUUGUACUGGCUCCUCCCGUAGUCGGAGUGGUUUGUGAUUUCUGUUUCCGGCUCGACGGGAAUUUUAAAAGCUCGCCUACUGCUCGUGUACUCAGUGUGAACACCGGGUUAUCUCAAAGUCAUUCAUACUUUAAAUGCGACUUUAUUCGGCAAAAAUUAAAUAGCCUAAAUAUAGACUAAACAUGGCCUCGGAUUGUCACUUCAACUCCAUAUCCAAGGAGGAAGAGGAGGGAGAGGAAUUUGAUCGGAUGCUGGAGCGGAUCGGUGGAAAGGGGAAUAUUUAUUUGGUAGGAGACACGGAUGGAGAAAACAACUGCAGCCUUUUCCAGGAGUUUAUCAUGGACAUGUUUCACACCGAGGUGCACAUCAAGAGGGACAAAAACGCAAAUCUCGGCAACGGGAACAUCAAAUCUGCCGCUGCGAGAAACUGUCCUGUUUCUGAUGUGGCUCAAGGAAAAGGCGAGAAUAACGCCGACGUGGACGAGAAAUGUGUCCGACACAUGCGCAAAAUCUCCGGUCACAGCGGACGAGCGAUUCAUUGCGCCGCCAUCAUCUUCAUUUUCAGACACGGAUACAUUCAGAACAAGGCGAACCAUGUGUGUAUGGAGGAGAUCCUGAAGGACAUAAAGGUUCGAGUGAAGAAAAAUCAUGGAGUUCAUCAGGCGGUACUGGGCCUCGUUCGUGCUGACGCUGAAAGCUCGGAGACUCGCGAGUCUGUGUCGCUCUUGGAGGGGACAGUGAGAUCUGUGUUCAUAAAACAUCCACACAACUCCAUAUGGAUUGGCCAUUUUAUUCCUAACGCAGCAGAUUGCAUAGAGAACAUCAAAAGGAACAUCUGCAAAGCUGUGAAUGAGUCUCAGAGCCCAGGUUAAAUAGCAUGAUAUCAUGUAGUACGUUUUUUACAUACAUACAUGCAUAACAAUUUGAAGGAGGCAUGAUCUCUGCAUCUCAGUCUUAAUGAAGGAGGCGUGGCCUCUGCAUCCAUAUUUCAGUGAAGGAGGUGUGGCCUUAGUGCCUCUUAGUCCCGAAGGGAGGUAUGGCCUCUGUGUUUGAUAGUCACAGUGAAGGAGCCAUGGCUAUGGCAUCACUAUUUUAGUGAAAGAGGUGUGGCCUGUGUGUCAGUCCUAGUGAAGAAUGUGUGGCCUUUGCCUGUUAGACCCAAUGAAGGAUUUAUGGUCUCAAUGAAGGUGGCAUGUCUCAACGUGUCAGUCUCAGUAAAGGUGGUCUCAGUGUGUAGGUCUCGGUAAGGGAGGUGUGGUCUCAGUUUGUAGGUCUCAGUCAGGAAGGAAUGGUCUCAGUGUCGGUCUCAGCAAAGGAGGUGUGGUCUCAUUGCGUCGGUCUCGGCGAAGGAGGUGUGGUCACAGUGCCUAUUAUGCCAAGUUUACACUACACGAUUUUAGGCCCAAUUUUCACUCGCCAAUAGUUUUGUGGAGAUCGCAGACAAAAGCCCAAAAUCAUAGCAAAUGAGAGCUCGCUCUCGUGAGCGAUGAAUGCAAUGUAUGAAUUAUCAAAGAUGCGAUCUGAGAGAAGCACCGACGCAUCAAUGAUGUCAGCGAGAUAUCUGGACCUGUCUGCGAUUCCAAAUCGCGUAAUGUUUUGACCGAAUAUAACUGCAGCUUUGCUCUACAGCCAAUGAGAGAGCAUGAACCAGGGCACUGCCCGGGAAGUUUCAGUGGGAGGAUGUUACCUUCAAGUCUCUCUGCAGAACAGACUAUCCUUGCUGCCUGCGUCUCCUCAACCAUUCCCUUCUUCAUAGUCUUUUCUACUUUUUUGACUUUUCGCUGCAAAUCCACGCAGAAAGAAAGUGUAUCGCAAGCUUCUUGUGGUCCGCCAUUUUCAAAACCCUGCCCGGACAAGCAUGAGGACGUCUACUCACGCGUGAUCUUGUGUAAUUCUCGUAUCACUUCUUGCGUGUACUCUGUUGUGAAACAUAAUUCGGAGUCCAGGCAGAGUCGUCAGGGAUUCAUCAAUAGUGAAAUAUUUUGUAAUGUGUUCACCCCUGUUGCCGAUUGCUCAUGUAAUUUGAAAACCCUAUGACUUCCAUGACAAGACAGACAGUUGUGUAAUAUGAACAGUACCACAACCCGACGUCUUUGAAAGUUGUGUAGUGUGUAGAAGCUAUAAGUAGUGCUGCAUUCGACUAAAACAGCACCCCCUACCUCAACACACUCCACGUUCCCUCACUCAAUCUGCGUUCGAUUAACGACCAAUGCUUAGUAGUGCCUCGAGCGUGGCUCAAGGUCCCAUUCCAGAACCUUCACACUAACUGUCUCUCAGUGAUGGAAUGAACUUCCAACCUCAAUCCGGAUCACAGAAUCUGUCACUAUCUUCAAAAAACAGCUAAAGAUCCUCCUCUUCCGUGAGCAUGUAACUAACCCAUAAAAUGCCAACCCCACAUUAUCCUUAAAAAAAAAAAAACCUUUGGCACUUACACCUCUACUCUGCGCAUUUUCUAGAACUCAAUUAUUAAUCUUGUAUGGUAGCAGUACUUGUAUUGUUCUCUGCUUGAAAUGUCGCUUUGCUUGUAUUUCCUCAUUUGUAAGUCGCUUUGGAUAAAAGCGUCUGCUAAAUGAAUAAAUGUAAAUGUAAAGCCUCAAUGACUCAAUUUCCAACCUUUGAAUAGAAAAAAUCAAAGAAAACUUCCCCCUCAUGGAGCUCAAAGACACCGAGGUUAAACAUGAAGUAAUUCUGUGUUCUGACUUCCCACUCCAAACACAGCAUAGCAGUAGAGAAUAGUAAUAAUGAUGAUGACAAUGAUAAUAGUAAAGGAGGUGUGGCCUUUGCGUCUGUGUGUUUUUCGUUUUUUUCUAUAGUUUUGCAGUUUUCUAUUUUGGUAUUGUGGCCAGUUUUCAGUCAUGAGAUUUCAUCCCCAGCCUGGAGAGAAAAGAUUUUUCUUUCACGUAGCACACAAUUCACUCUUUGUUUUGUUUGUUUUGUAGAUAACAUCUUGAGCCGUAAGCGAAAUAUUUUCUGGCCGUUGUUACAGUGCUGGAUCAGGAGAGGACGUAGAGAACGAGCCGAAGCGACAACAUAUGCUCAGGCACAGAAAGGUGAGCCAGAGUGAAGCCUGUUUAUCUGACUUGACAUGACCUCUGACCCUCUAAUACUCACCCAUCAUUCCCUACAGGUGAUCCUGAAAGCACAGAGGAAGGAAUUCCAUUACAGAUGAAAUCUGGCUUACAGUCCUGACAUCAGGUUUAUUAACAGACUGAUAAUGACCACAUGACCUGUGAAAUGCCCAGAAAGCUGAAAUACCUGCUGUGUUUGAUUUAUUAACUGACAGGAAUGUUGAAGGAGCAUCGGGAUAUGAAGAUUACUGAUGAAGCUGCUGCUCCUCGGUACUCCUUCAAAAUAAAAUUUCAAAGACAUUGCAAACAUUUUUUUUUGUCUUUGACAACCACGAAAAGGAUGUCAGUCACCAAACAGUGCCUCUGUUAAAGUUUUAAAGGGAGUUAAUUAGAGUAACUUACAUUUUUACAUUUGGAUUGAUCUGAAUUGUGUACUAAUUUUGUCAGGCAAUAUAUACUAGAACAGUCUAGGAUUUCAAUUAAUAGGUUAAUACAUGUAGAGCUUAAUUGUUUGCUAACAUAUUAGACAUUAAAUGUCUUAUUUUAAUUGUAUAAUUAUAUGUAGCAUCUUUAACAGUAGUCAUUGCAGUGAGUUUUCAGUCUUUGCUUUAAGUUUAAGUUCAAUUUCAAUUGCUUUUUUAUAUUUUAGUUUAAGUUUUAGUUUCCACAGUUUUAGUUGUGAACACAGAAGUGGUUUGCCAUCAUUGGAACUUUUGGGGGAAAAAAAAAAAUUUGUUUUCCACUUUAAACUAGAAUUCGCAUUGCAAAUACAUGGUUAAAAAUAAAUAAAUAAAUAAUCAAAUUCUUACUGCACACUUUUUCUAUUUAGUAUCUGAGGUGUUAUAUAUAUUUUGUUGUCAUAAUUGUCUUACAUUUUCAUAAUUGCUAACUGUAAAAGUGUUUAUGAAGCAGG